CUGGAAUCAAUGAAUUUUGAAUCUAGGAAAAUCAACACUUGUGGUGGUGUUGAUGGUGGAGGUGCAGGUUUUGGAGGAGGAUGAGGAGGCAGUGGUGGUACUGGAUCAGAUUUGGAAGAUAAUUUGUAUUUGGAGUUAGUGGUGGUGUUUUGGUAUGAAGCUGAGAGGUUUGGUAUGGAUGUUAGAGCUGUGUUAGACAUUGUUUCAGAUAACUUCAUAAAAGCUAAUUGCUUAAACGUGGUAAUGAUCUCGCUGGAACUGGA
Molecule: long non-coding RNA, 263 nt
Organism: Papaver somniferum (opium poppy)
Lineage: Eukaryota; Viridiplantae; Streptophyta; Magnoliopsida; Ranunculales; Papaveraceae
Exons: 3
Source: RefSeq, a predicted model, not a curated record